AUUUGUUAGUAAAAAACUAAAGAGCAACCAACCUUAAACAUUUAACAGGAGAGGCGAGCAGUGUAGAAAUUUUGCAAGUCUGAGUGGUGGGUGGGUGCAAUGUUGGCCAGUGAAGGGGACAGACGUAAAAGGAGACCCUGGCGAGAUGGCCUUGAGAAAGGCUCUGGCAAGUGAGAAGACACCUUGACACCAGGCAUGGCUGGAUGAAGUCAGCGCUCUGAAGCCCCAAGGCAUUAGGACACCUCCAUUCCUGACCUCCUGGAGCACUGACUGCCUUUUGUGGGGGAUUGAAAAAGACUUCUGGGAAGAGCUGGUGCUGAGUCCUCUGUGUGAAGAGGAGGAAAAGAGUUGAUGAGUAUGAAUUGGAGGACCCAUCCAGAAAUAAAGGAUCUGCAAACAAUCAAACUAAUAAAAAAUCAAACACAAAACAGAGGAACAGAGAUCCCUGGAGAGAUGCCCUUUCAACCCUCCAUCUCUGCUAAAUGCCUUUUGGAUCUCAGCAGUGGAGCCCAUUGGUUGGUUGGAUAGUCAGAGCAGACUAUUACUGACGCCUAUUAAGGCUGACUGAAAGAAUUCUAGCCAAAUCUUCCAGGUUAGAAGAGAAAUGACAGCUCCUCCCAAAGGUAUUUCCAUGACAAAGCACAGCAACCAUCCUGCAAAGGGUUAAUACUCCCCCCUCCCCUGCCCCCAACUUGCUACAGAGAUCAGCUAAUCUGAUAAUUACAGCAACAAACACAGUUUAGACAAACAAGACCUGACCCUGAGGGUUUGGAAUGAAAACAUUUACUCUCUCCCUCCCUAGAGAGAUGGUGCCUGGAGCAUACACACAGAGAGACACUGGGAAAAUACCCUUGUGCUGGAGCGACAGGGUGAAAACAUCUGUGUUCCUGAGCUGCUUAAGAAGAUGAAGUUAACAGGGAGAAGGGAUGGGGCGG
This 935-nucleotide long non-coding RNA is filed under the name Equus caballus (horse). RNAcentral describes it as "lncRNA (ENSECAG00000053931.1)". The record is from RNAcentral. Lineage: Eukaryota; Metazoa; Chordata; Mammalia; Perissodactyla; Equidae.